AUUUGUCAUUAAACUCUCAAAUAAAUAAAAAAUUUGAAAAAAUGGUGUAAAAUGAAUUUAAAAUAGAAAAACGAAAAGAAGGAACAGAAAAUAAUUCCUUAAAAUAUAUAUAAUAAACUAAAAAAGCAAUCAAUAAAAUAGUGGAAAAGCUUUGAUAUUCUCACAAGUACCGAUCGUUAACCAAUAACCAUUCAAAAAUGUCUAGAUUUCAAUUAAAAUUUUAAAAAAAAAAACACCACUCUAAAUUAUGAACAAAUCCAAUAGUUAAACAUUACAAACCUUGCUGAUAAAAAUUCAAUCAUGAAAGUCUUGUACUGAAAUUUUAGUAUAAGAAAUAAUACAAACAGGCUAUUUUGAAGCCAAGUUUCGCUUCAAUUGCGGAUAAAUAAUUUGCUUGAAAUGCUUAAAUUGACAAAAAAUGUACUUUUGCAGACUUCAUAUCCUCGGAAGGGAUCAGAAUGGCAGGGACUUCUCCAGUUGAAAGAGAGGAAAUUUCUGCAGAAUCUAGAAAUUUGAUUUUAACCAAAAUUGGGGAAUGAGUAACUUCUGAGCUGUUAGUAAAUUGACUAACUUUUGAAAAAAAUCCUUCAGAUGGAACCACAUCUGCGACGUUCUUAAAAUAGUCUAAACAGUUUAUCUCAUCCCUCUUUUUUUCUGAAACAAUACUUGAUGGCGGACAAUUAUGUCCUGUGGCUGAACCACUAUGAUUAUCAGUAUUACAGUUAAAUAAGCUAUUGAGCAUAUGCCCAGGAGAAUGUUUUAAAACCUGAUGGUUUUGAAGCUUGUUAUUUAAUACUCCUCCAAGAAAAUCAUCGCCAAAACUCAAAUCUGAGAUGUUAGAAACCAAAGAAUUUGAGCUAUCCUCCAUCCGUUUCAAGGAACAAAAUGAAGAUAAGUCUGUUUCAUUUGAUCUUAAGUCCAGAAGCUGCUUUUCAGAGUCGUCAUCUUGGAACCUAUUUUUAAUAAUACUGGCAGAAGAUAAUCCAGGAUCCUUAUCAAGACCAACAAGGCCAAAAAUGUUGUCUUGAGACGUAUUCAAUUGAUCACUCUUAGAGUUAGAGUCCCAACUUCUUAAGUUAUUAAGAGAUGAAGAACCCCUAAUACACGGAACAUUUGUAAUAUCGCUAUUUUGAUUAUCAUGGAAAGAAUUAAACUGGGGUGGAAGAGGUUGAGGUUGAGGAUGUGAAUGGUUUUGUAAGUUAGGAUGAGAUUGAGAAUUUGAAAAGCAUUCACCUUUUCUGAAAAUAUCAUCACAGCUGUAAUUCCGCUUCAUUCUGUGAUCUCCCUCACCUUCUUGGUCAAUAUAUCUCAAAAUUGGCGGUAAAGUUUUUGCUUGUAUUGAUUGAGUAUUAAAUCCCAAUCCUGUUCUAGAAUUUGAAUGAAGAUUUGAAUGUGAGUGUGAUUGUCUCAUUUUUCCUAGUGAAGAGACUGGUUGUCCUGAGCUUGAGUAUACUAAAGGAGGGGGAGGAGGGACUUGAAAUAGAAAUCGGCUAUUUUCAUUAAAUUUGUUGCUCCUUAGUGGCAGAAUUAGAUCAUCUUCUCGUAUUGAAGGCGGAAGUUGAUCAUCUUUUCGUCUAAG
RNAcentral lists this non-coding RNA (1579 nucleotides) under Cryptosporidium parvum. The record is from RNAcentral. Lineage: Eukaryota; Apicomplexa; Conoidasida; Eucoccidiorida; Cryptosporidiidae.